ACAGUACAAACUGAGCAGGCGAUGGAGAUCCAUGGGGCCGGGCCCGACAAGGGCAGCAGAUGAGAACGUGACAUCUGUGGGACAGUA
Non-coding RNA from Blautia sp. CAG:52, 87 nucleotides. The record is from Rfam. Lineage: Bacteria; Bacillati; Bacillota; Clostridia; Lachnospirales; Lachnospiraceae.